UGGCUUAACAGCAGGUAUGCUAAAAUUGGAACAAUACAGAGAGGAUUAGCAUGGCCCCUGCACAAGGAUAACAUGCAGAUUUUUCCAUAUUUUU
RNAcentral lists this small nuclear RNA (94 nucleotides) under Prolemur simus (greater bamboo lemur). The record is from RNAcentral. Lineage: Eukaryota; Metazoa; Chordata; Mammalia; Primates; Lemuridae.